CUUUUUUCUUUCUAUAUU
Molecule: small nuclear RNA, 18 nt
Filed under: Arabidopsis thaliana (thale cress)
Lineage: Eukaryota; Viridiplantae; Streptophyta; Magnoliopsida; Brassicales; Brassicaceae
Description: snRNA_10925
Source: RNAcentral